AUGCUUGUUGAGACAAGCAAGCAUGAACAAUAUCAUAUUGUUUACAAGUUUCUUAAGUUGGUAUUGAUUCUUCCAGUAGCUACUGCUAGUGUUGAAAGGGUAUUCUCUUCAAUGAGCUAUGUGAAGAAUAAGCUAAGAACAAAAUGGGUGAUGAUUAUUUGA
This 162-nucleotide ribosomal RNA is filed under the name Triticum aestivum (bread wheat). Its description in RNAcentral is "partial small subunit ribosomal RNA". Lineage: Eukaryota; Viridiplantae; Streptophyta; Magnoliopsida; Poales; Poaceae. The record is from RNAcentral.